This 1152-nucleotide long non-coding RNA is filed under the name Oryctolagus cuniculus (rabbit). Its description in RNAcentral is "lncRNA (ENSOCUG00000030755.1)". The record is from RNAcentral. Lineage: Eukaryota; Metazoa; Chordata; Mammalia; Lagomorpha; Leporidae.
GUAAAUACGGAAUUUUUUCUGAAUGGGAGCUAGCUAAGUUGGCUAAGGUUCAACCCGUAGUAUUCAGUGUUAAUGAACAGUCAUCAAGCAUCCUUGAAAAUGCUUGAGAAAAAAGUAGCAGAGAAUGAUGUCAUCAAGGAGUUUACGGAUUUGGAGCUUAUAAAUCGGCCUGAUGAGUUCAAGCUUGGGAAUCAACAGUGUAACAAAGAAAAGAAAGAUACCAAGAUAUUCUUCCAUAAGGGAACUAAGCACAUUGUAAAACACAUGCAGUUCACCAAGUGGCCAGACCGUGGCACUCCUGCCGCAGCAGAGCAGUUCGUCAACUAUGUCUGCUAUGUGAGGAAGUACCACCAUUCAGGACCCUGAUGGUUCACUGCAGGGCUGGUGUAGGCCGCACGGGAGUGUUCCUAUGUCUGGAUGUUGUAUUCUGUGCCAUCCAAGAUAACCGCUCCGUGAGUAUGUGACUCAAGCAGAGAAGCUGGCACGUCUGUAAACACAGUGCUUUUAACAGCCUGGUAGUAGGGGGGGCUAGCAGGUGGCCUCCAAGAGCAACUUAAAGAAUUGAAAGCACCUUAGCUUUGCAUGUCUGCUUCUCACCUUGCUGCAGCUUCUUGGAGGUCACGUGAGGGUUAAAGUACGCCAUGUAAGUAAAACGUUUAAAAGGUUUAGGACAGUGUUUGGAACAUAAUAGAAAUGCAGUAAUUGGGCCAGCGCCGCGGCUCACUAGGCUAAUCCUCCACCUAGCGGCGCCGGCACACCGGGUUCUAGUCCCGGUCGGGACUCUAGAUUCUGCCCCGGUUGCCCCUCUUCCAGGCCAGCUCUCUGCUGUGGCCAGGGAGUGCAGUGGAGGAUGGCCCAAGUGCUUGGGCCCUGCACCCCAUGGGAGACCAGGAGAAGUACCUGGCUCCUGGCUUCUGAUCAGCACGGUGCGCCGGAUGCAGUGCGCCAGCCGCGAUGGCCAUUGGAGGGUGAACCAAUGGCAAAGGAAGACCUUUCUCUCUGUCUCUCUCUCUCACUGUCCACUCUGCCUGUCAAAAAAAAAAAAAAAAUGCAGUAAUUGUGAAUUCAUUUGCCUUUUCUUUCUUUCUGUUGGCACCCAUGGAUUUAAAAUUUUUUUUCUAGUAAAUGGUGAUAAGACGUUCCUGUGGACCA